RNAcentral lists this unclassified non-coding RNA (353 nucleotides) under soil metagenome. Its description in RNAcentral is "partial contains 5.8S ribosomal RNA, internal transcribed spacer 2, and large subunit ribosomal RNA". The stretch from base 1 to 120 matches the Rfam family "5.8S ribosomal RNA", at positions 35 to 154 of the family's 154-position model. The record is from RNAcentral.
GAUGAAGAACGUAGCAAAAUGCGAUAAGUAAUGUGAAUUGCAGAAUUCAGUGAAUCAUCGAAUCUUUGAACGCACAUUGCGCCCGUUAGUAUUCUGACGGGCAUGCCUGUUCGAGCGUCAUUUACACCCCUCGGGCCGUUCUGCGGCCCGGCGUUGGGACGUUGCGCGUGCUCUGUCCGCGCAAGUCCUGAAAAAGAGUGGCGGGCCGUCCCGCGUCGCCUUUGCGUAGUCACCAUACCUCGCUCUGGGACGUGGCCGGUUUUCCAGCCGUAAAACCCCCUUUUUUUUUCUAAGGUUGACCUCGGAUCAGGUAGGGAUACCCGCUGAACUUAAGCAUAUCAAUAAGCGGAGGA